Molecule: ribosomal RNA, 253 nt
Filed under: uncultured bacterium
Lineage: Bacteria
Description: partial 16S ribosomal RNA
Rfam family: Bacterial small subunit ribosomal RNA
Source: RNAcentral
UACAGAGGGUGCAAGCGUUGUUCGGAAUCAUUGGGCGUAAAGCGCGUGUAGGUGGCUUUCUAAGUCUGGUGUGAAAUCCCGGGGCUCAACCCCGGAAGUGCACUGGAUACUGGAGAGCUAGAGGGCGAGAGAGGAGAUUGGAAUUCAUGGUGUAGGGGUGAAAUCCGUAGAUAUCAUGAGGAACAUCUGUGGCGAAGGCGAAUCUCUGGCUCGUUUCUGACACUGAGACGCGAAAGCGUGGGGAGCAAACAGG